AAACUUUCAACAACGGAUCUCUUGGUUCUCGCAUCGAUGAAGAACGCAGCGAACUGCGAUAAGUAAUGUGAAUUGCAGAAUUUUGUGAAUCAUCGAAUCUUUGAACGCACAUUGCGCCUUUUGGUAUUCCAGAAGGCAUACCUGUUUGAGAGUCAUUU
Molecule: ribosomal RNA, 158 nt
Filed under: Blastobotrys adeninivorans
Lineage: Eukaryota; Fungi; Ascomycota; Dipodascomycetes; Dipodascales; Trichomonascaceae
Description: 5.8S ribosomal RNA
Rfam family: 5.8S ribosomal RNA
About the family: 5.8S ribosomal RNA (5.8S rRNA) is a component of the large subunit of the eukaryotic ribosome.
Source: RNAcentral